This 253-nucleotide ribosomal RNA is filed under the name uncultured bacterium. Its description in RNAcentral is "partial 16S ribosomal RNA". It matches the Rfam family "Bacterial small subunit ribosomal RNA", at positions 524 to 776 of the family's 1533-position model. The record is from RNAcentral.
UACAGAGGUGGCAAGCGUUGUUCGGAAUUACUGGGCGUAAAGGGCGCGUAGGCGGCCUUCUAAGUCAGACGUGAAAUCCCCAGGCUUAACUUGGGAACUGCGUCUGAUACUGGGAGGCUUGAGUGCGGGAGAGGGAUGUGGAAUUCCAGGUGUAGCGGUGAAAUGCGUAGAUAUCUGGAGGAACACCGGUGGCGAAGGCGGCGUUCUGGACUGCAACUGACACUGAGGAACGAAAGCCAGGGGAGCAAACGGG